Molecule: long non-coding RNA, 2296 nt
Filed under: Citrus sinensis (sweet orange)
Lineage: Eukaryota; Viridiplantae; Streptophyta; Magnoliopsida; Sapindales; Rutaceae
Description: long non-coding RNA (CSIN_LNC000861)
Source: RNAcentral
UGGGAUUUUAUAAAGGAAGUUGGGGAAAAAGAAAGGGGCAAUGUGGUUGUGGUUGUGGGGGAGUGCGCGGUCAAUGCGGGAUUUGACUGAGGCGCCGCCCAAGCGAGUGAGAGAGAGGGGACAAUAUGAUAACGUUGUUUGUCUUGUGAUACGUGGCACGCGGGAUUAUCGAGACAAGCGGCGGGCUUGAGGUACUCUUUCAUCCGUGCCGGCAUUUGCCUAACGGUGUCGUUAUUGCCUCCCUUGACUUUUUGCGUGAUUUUUAUAUACAUGUACACACGCUCUCUCUCAAACGCGCAAACAUUAAACACCACGCUCCUAUCCUAUGCUUGCAUUUAUUUUAUUUUAUUUAUAAACAUCCCCUUAAAAUAUAUAUAUUUGCGUGUUUGUGAAUGUAUAAUAUUAAUUAUUAAUUAUCAGCUAUAUGUCAAGAAAUGUUUUGAAAUGACUUUUAGAUUUGCUAGAGCUUUUCUUUGAAGUUGCAUAUUGUAUUCAUGGAUUGCCUAUUAAAACCCUCCCAAUGCAGAAAUUUAUUCUUUUAGGAUAUAAAUUAAACCUUGAUUCUUUAAUUAAAAUCACUUAUUACAUAAUUAAGCAAAACAUUUUACUUGCAUUUUUUGUUAUUUAUCUAUAAAUAUUAUCCUUUUUUUUUUUAAUAGAUGAGCAUACGAGACGUGAUUUAAUCAGAUUUUUAUAAGGUGCCGAUAUUAUUAUACUAUAAUUAAUGAAUACCAUCAAAAUAUUAAAUUGAUUUUCCACCUCAGUAAAAGACAGGAUUAUAGAUCAUAGAAAGUUUAAUGCACGCCACAGUUAAUGGCGUGAGAAAGUAAUAAAGGUUUUGAGUGGAUUAGCUGACGAUUAAUUCUUAACAUCUGUCAGUGUUGUCAGCCAUCGCCGUCUCUCUCUGAAUUAAAUUUAAACCUAUGGAAUCGCUCUUUUAGACCGACAGCUAAAAGAAGUGAUCAUAACAACUACUUAAAAUGCGCCACGCGUCCCUUUUUAUGCUCGACGCGUCCUUAACGCCAGCUCCCCCGUCAAUUGUUUCGGUGUUAUCGCCUAAUUGCGACUGUCUUUGUCCAGUGACAGAUUUUCUUUGAGCGCGUGGAUUUGAAAUGACUCUUACUACCGUGUUGAUGCGCGUGCAGUGUAGUGAACGUAGUACUCUCUUUGCGAUUGGGGAUUGAUCAAAACGAGAUCCCGGAGCACGUGAGCCGUGCCAAACAAAAUAGUUAGUUAAUAUAUGAAUUUUUUUUUUCCGUAUAGAUAAUUAAGAUAUAUAAAUUCAGCACAAAUUGAUGAUGAAUCGAGAUUCUAAGCCAUUAAACAGCUAAGAUACCGCACUUUACUGACACGUGUUAUGCGUCGGCUGCUUAAAGUUGUUGAACAGUGUUAGCUAAUAAGAGUAGAGAUGGCAAUGGGUGCAACAGUAAUCGGCACGAUACGAAUAUAUUUCGACAGGGCACGUGGCACGAUAUGAUAUAUAUGUGGGCUGCACUGAGUCAGAUUUAGAAUUUUAGGCACGCCGGCCUUAAAAGUAAGGCACAAUUAGAGAUGAGUUAAGCAUAGCACGAUAAAAAAGGUCCGUAAUAAACACGUUUUAUGUUUAAUGAAGGUAAAUUUAAAAUUUUAUAAUUUUAUAAAUAGCUUGAAAUUAAAUUUUUUAAAUUUAUUUAAUUCUUAUCUUCUUCCCGGGGUCUCUUAUCUCGGCAGCGUAUCGGCCCCAAGGCCUCUUUCUAACUCCUCUGUAAUGCACCUCUUUCUUAUUGUUGCUCCUGUUGUCAAUGUUUUUCCUGUUGCCACUAAUUGUUCUCUCUUUUGGUGCCAUUGUUUUUUUUUUUCUUUCUGUUUUUCCCUUUGAAAGUGUGUGCUGUUUUUGUUUUGGAGAGGAAAGGGGGGGCAAAUUGUGGGAUUUUAUAAAGGAAGUUGGGGAAAAAGAAAGGGGCAAUGUGGUUGUGGUUGUGGGGGAGUGCGCGGUCAAUGCGGGAUUUGACUGAGGCGCCGCCCAAGCGAGUGAGAGAGAGGGGACAAUAUGAUAACGUUGUUUGUCUUGUGAUACGUGGCACGCGGGAUUAUCGAGACAAGCGGCGGGCUUGAGGUACUCUUUCAUCCGUGCCGGCAUUUGCCUAACGGUGUCGUUAUUGCCUCCCUUGACUUUUUGCGUGAUUUUUAUAUACAUGUACACACGCUCUCUCUCAAACGCGCAAACAUUAAACACCACGCUCCUAUCCUAUGCUUGCAUUUAUUUUAUUUUAUUUAUAAACAUCCCCUUAAAAUAUAUAUAUUUGCGUGUUUGUGA